AUACGUAGGUGACAAGCGUUAUCCGGAUUUACUGGGCGUAAAGGGCGUGUAGGCGGUCUUGCAAGUCAGAAGUGAAAUUCCUGAGCUCCACUCGGGCGCUGCUUCUGAAACUGCAGGACUUGAGUGCUGGAGGGGAUAGCGGAAUUCCUAGUGGAGCGGUAAAAUGCGCAGAUAUUAGGAAGAACACCGGUGGCGAAGGCGGCUAUCUGGACAGUAACUGACGCUGAGGCGCGAAAGCGUGGGGAGCAAACAGGAUUAGAUACCCUGGUAGUCCACACUGUAAACGAUGAUUGCUAGGUGUGGGGGGACUGACCCCUUCCGUGCCGGAGUAAACACAAUAAGCAAUCCACCUGGGGAGUACGACCGCAAGGUUGAAACUCAAAUGAAUUGGCGGGG
Molecule: ribosomal RNA, 396 nt
Filed under: uncultured bacterium
Lineage: Bacteria
Description: partial 16S ribosomal RNA
Rfam family: Bacterial small subunit ribosomal RNA
Source: RNAcentral